RNAcentral lists this ribosomal RNA (96 nucleotides) under Bacteroides reticulotermitis. RNAcentral's name for it is "partial 23S ribosomal RNA". It matches the Rfam family "Bacterial large subunit ribosomal RNA", at positions 2828 to 2925 of the family's 2925-position model. Lineage: Bacteria; Pseudomonadati; Bacteroidota; Bacteroidia; Bacteroidales; Bacteroidaceae. The record is from RNAcentral.
UUAGGGUCGUUGUAGACUACAACGUUGAUAGGAUGUAGGUGUAAAGGUGGUAACAUCAAAGCCGAGCAUUACUAAUUGCCCGUUCACUUUCUUUCU